UGUGUCCAAACACCCUGUUCCUGUCGUCGCUAUCUCUACUGAACCAAUGCUCGUGUUCAGGACAGCAUCGUAGUGCAAGUCACCGGACAAAACAGCGACAUUGCCCGAUUUUAAACUGAACAUGGAGCUUGGGCUUAAAUCAACAGCACCAUCGUGAUGGAAAGCAGAAGCUGGUUGAUCAAGGUCUCCAAGAUCCGCAAAACGCGUCUGGCUUCGGCUACCAUCUUCUAUUUCAGGGUGAG
RNAcentral lists this unclassified non-coding RNA (242 nucleotides) under Hevea brasiliensis (rubber tree). The record is from RNAcentral. Lineage: Eukaryota; Viridiplantae; Streptophyta; Magnoliopsida; Malpighiales; Euphorbiaceae.